This 641-nucleotide ribosomal RNA is filed under the name Klebsiella pneumoniae. RNAcentral's name for it is "bacterial LSU rRNA". It matches the Rfam family "Bacterial large subunit ribosomal RNA", at positions 346 to 994 of the family's 2925-position model. The record is from RNAcentral. Lineage: Bacteria; Pseudomonadati; Pseudomonadota; Gammaproteobacteria; Enterobacterales; Enterobacteriaceae.
AAAGUCCGACGGUACAGGGUGAUAGUCCCGUACACCAAAAUGCACAGGCUGUGAACUCGAAGAGUAGGGCGGGACACGUGGUAUCCUGUCUGAAUAUGGGGGGACCAUCCUCCAAGGCUAAAAUACUCCUGACUGACCGAUAGUGAACCAGUACCGUGAGGGAAAGGCGAAAAGAACCCCGGCGAGGGGAGUGAAAAAGAACCUGAAACCGUGUACGUACAAGCAGUGGGAGCACCUUCGGGUGUGACUGCGUACCUUUGUAUAAUGGGUCAGCGACUUAUAUUCUGUAGCAAGGUUAACCGUAUAGGGGAGCCGCAGGGAAACCGAGUCUUAACUGGGCGUUAAGUUGCAGGUAUAGACCCGAAACCCGGUGAUCUAGCCAUGGGCAGGUUGAAGGUUGGGUAACACUAACUGGAGGACCGAACCGACUAAUGUUGAAAAAUUAGCGGAUGACUUGUGGCUGGGGGUGAAAGGCCAAUCAAACCGGGAGAUAGCUGGUUCUCCCCGAAAGCUAUUUAGGUAGCGCCUCGUGAAUUCAUCUUCGGGGGUAGAGCACUGUUUCGGCUAGGGGGUCAUCCCGACUUACCAACCGAUGCAAACUACGAAUACCGAAGAAUGUUAUCACGGGAGACACACGGCGG